CAGCCCUAAACGAUGCGCGUUAGGUGUAUCGGUGACCACGAGUCACCGAGGUGCCGAAGGGAAACCGUGAAACGUGCCGCCUGGGAAGUACGGUCGCAAGGCUGAAACUUAAAGGAAUUGGCGGGGAGCACCACAACGGGUGGAGCCUGCGGUUUAAUUGGACUCAACGCCGGGAAGCUCACCGGAUAAGACAGCGGAAUGAUUGCCGGGCUGAAGACCCUGCAUGACCAGCUGAGAGGUGGUGCAUGGCGUCAGUGACU
Molecule: ribosomal RNA, 260 nt
Filed under: uncultured archaeon
Lineage: Archaea
Description: partial 16S ribosomal RNA
Rfam family: Archaeal small subunit ribosomal RNA
Source: RNAcentral